RNAcentral lists this ribosomal RNA (253 nucleotides) under uncultured bacterium. Its description in RNAcentral is "partial 16S ribosomal RNA". It matches the Rfam family "Bacterial small subunit ribosomal RNA", at positions 524 to 776 of the family's 1533-position model. The record is from RNAcentral.
UACGGAGGGUGCAAGCGUUAUCCGGAUUCACUGGGUUUAAAGGGUGCGUAGGUGGGCUGGUAAGUCAGUGGUGAAAUCUCCAGGCUUAACUUGGAAACUGCCAUUGAUACUAUCAGUCUUGAAUACCGUGAAGGUCAGCGGAAUAUGUCAUGUAGCGGUGAAAUGCUUAGAUAUGACAUAGAACACCAAUUGCGAAGGCAGCUGGCUACACGAAUAUUGACACUGAUGCACGAAAGCGUGGGGAUCAAACAGG